This is a long non-coding RNA of Dreissena polymorpha, 980 nucleotides long. RefSeq lists it as uncharacterized. Lineage: Eukaryota; Metazoa; Mollusca; Bivalvia; Myida; Dreissenidae. The transcript has 3 exons. The record is from RefSeq and is a predicted model, not a curated record.
GGUUACUGUGACUAAAAGAAGAAAGAUGCUUUUUGCAAAAUAACUCGAAUAUGUAUGGAGUUGUGAUGAUAUUGUGAAUGUUAGUAACUUAAUUUGUAUCUAGUUUUUGAUUCCAUAUGGGACCAGUUGACCACUGCUUCUAAAAAAAGAUCAACUUUAUCUGCUUAAUUGCUAGAGUUUUUAUGAAAGUAUUGUUCUGAAAUAUUUUAAUCAGUUGCUUACAUGAUGGCCAAACUUCUUCUAUUGAUGCCCAAACGUUAAUGACGCUCUUAAAAUGGGAAUGUUUAGCCAAUUAUUUUUUUUUAAGGCAAAUCACAAAUUCAUCUAAACAAUUUCUAGUCAAUUGAAAGGCUAAGGUUGAUGGCACAAACUGCUGACAGUAACCUUGUUCUAUUUUCAGAGUCUAAAGCGCCAGCACUCAUUCUGUGAGAAUGCAACUCGAAAGAAACAGGAUCGGUUCAUACGACGACUGUCUGGGACCCUCUACAACACCAGUUUUAACCAUCACGAGUCAGUGAGACAAGAGAGGCAGACAGACUGAUGUAAAAGCCCAAACCACAUUUGGGCUUUAAAAGUCUUGAUCCAAUCUACAGGGAAUUGUGUAACUCUACUGUACAGUGUUUCGUGAUAAACAUUUUCUUAUGAACACUAUUAUAAAAUUGAAUACAAUAUUAUUGAAAGAUAUUGUUUAAAGUUUUAUAUACUGACCAUAAUGAGAUUCAACAUUGAACCCAACCAGAAAGACACUAUAUUACAAAUGGCGCCCAACGGGGGACAAGACCAUUGCGUCCUUCACGUUCAAGUUUGGAGGAUCUACGGACUAGAACUUUAUCAGUUUUUAUUGUGUUUUAUCAGUGACACUGAAUUUUGUGUGUUAUGUGAAGUGUGUGACUUUAACCAGUGCCGCUGCAAAUUAAAGGACUGGAUAGUGACAUUGUGAUCUAGUGGCCAAUUUCGCAGAUGUAACCUGUAACAGUAUC